Gallus gallus (chicken) is the source of this 1417-nucleotide long non-coding RNA. The record is from Ensembl. NCBI's taxonomy places the organism in Eukaryota, Metazoa, Chordata, Aves, Galliformes, Phasianidae.
UGGAAGUAUAUGCAAGUGGCAAAAGACUCUACCCAAAGGUCCUAAGCAUCUCUUUUAUCACUGCUUCCUUGCAAGAUCAAAACCAAGGACUCUGCAGCGAAGGCUGGUGCAGACAUGGCAGCACUAGGCAGGACACAAUAAGAUGUAAAGCCACAACAACACAGAGCUGAAACCCCUGAACUUGCAACCAUUGAAAAAGCUAUAGCCAUCAGCCAGGAAAGAAAUGAGGUUUCUGGGUGAAAAUGUAUGCUUGUCAAAAGGUUUUGACUAUACCAAGUUCAGUAUUUUUUGCUACUCUUAAUCGUCUGAUGGCUGUAGAUGUAUAGCUCUGGAGUCAGCAAUAACUAAGACUUCACUUACACUACAGACUCUGAGGAGAGCUUGAGUAUGUGAAAUGAUGCUACUGGUCACAUUCCCAUUCACAGACAUCAUUCAGAUCUUAGCUAUUAUGAAUAUUAUCUCAUAUCCAUGGCAGAAUUCUGGGUCCAGUAAAAAAACAUGCUGAAUUAAUUUGCUAGCCUCAACAAAUAGAAAAGUACACAUAUCCUGAAUUUGUACAAAAGUUAACUUUCUACCACAUUGGCUUAUUGUAGGAUUCUUGCACCUCUCUUUGUAGACUUAAUGGCCAAUCUCAAAAACUAGACAAAUCUCAUGUAAAAUUAGCUUAACCAUAAAUACCUAGUCUGUGGAACCCCUGUAAUGAGCAAAACAUGUUUUAUAUCCAUUGUGAUUCUUCCUAACAGGAAACUUCAACGUACAGUACACAGAACUAUAGGUGUUAGCAUACUGAGGGGCCAGGGGAGAAUCCAAGAAAAAUCACAGUGUUCAACUGAUUUAUAGAUAACAAGGAAGAAAUAUUAAGUCAACUGCAAAGCCACCACAGCCAGAGUUUGUCUGUCUAACUGGCAGAGUAUUAGACAUGGUCCCAGUUGCAUCAGGAGUCCUCCACUCACAAUGAAAAGUACAGAGGUUAAGAGCUCUUCUGUGACCCAUGUCUAUUCACUGUUCCGGAGUACAUCUUUGGACCUUUGCCAUAGUUGCUGGGUAUUUGCAUUAUGCAAUGUUCAACUCAGAGUCAUCUGCCUUAGGGAGAAAGCCAUGGUUUAUAAUUAAGGUGGUGAAAAUGAUAUUAAAGAAACUUGGUUCUAUCAUGUGACCAAGUGUUGGUGAAAUUGGUUAGUCUCUUUAUAAAAUAGAAAUAAAAACAUUCUUUUCCUGUGUCUGUUAAUUCACACUUCAGACUCUGUUGUGCAGGGACUGCUGAUGGCAUAAAAGCAUCUUUCCAGUGCACAGUGAGAUCCUGACCUUGACUAGAACUUACAGCUGCUGUUGUAAUGAAAUAAUAACAAAUAUUAAUCAUUGUCAAGCUUAUAUAUUUUCCCCUUCCCUGAACAAACCAUCUGUAUGUAUCUACCAG